GAUGAACGCUGGCGGCGUGCUUAACACAUGCAAGUCGAACGAUGAUGCCCAGCUUGCUGGGUGGAUUAGUGGCGAACGGGUGAGUAACACGUGAGUAACCUGCCCUUGACUCUGGGAUAAGCCUGGGAAACUGGGUCUAAUACCGGAUACGACCAUCUGGCGCAUGUCAUGGUGGUGGAAAGCUUUUGUGGUUUUGGAUGGACUCGCGGCCUAUCAGCUUGUUGGUGGGGUAAUGGCCUACCAAGGCGACGACGGGUAGCCGGCCUGAGAGGGUGACCGGCCACACUGGGACUGAGACACGGCCCAGACUCCUACGGGAGGCAGCAGUGGGGAAUAUUGCACAAUGGGCGCAAGCCUGAUGCAGCGACGCCGCGUGAGGGAUGACGGCCUUCGGGUUGUAAACCUCUGUCAGUAGGGAAGAAGCGAAAGUGACGGUACCUGCAGAAGAAGCGCCGGCUAACUACGUG
Molecule: ribosomal RNA, 467 nt
Filed under: uncultured bacterium
Lineage: Bacteria
Description: partial 16S ribosomal RNA
Rfam family: Bacterial small subunit ribosomal RNA
Source: RNAcentral